RNAcentral lists this unclassified non-coding RNA (11841 nucleotides) under Hevea brasiliensis (rubber tree). Lineage: Eukaryota; Viridiplantae; Streptophyta; Magnoliopsida; Malpighiales; Euphorbiaceae. The record is from RNAcentral.
AAAAAUAUACCUCAGAAAAACGCACACACACACACACACUCUCCUUCUCUUCUGUUUCCUUCUUCCCUUCCUCUUCCUUCCUCACCUCCGUCUUCAUCUUUGCAGAUCAAACAGAGACCGUCUAAUCUCCACUCUUCGCUCUCUCUCUGUCUCUGCCGGCUUCGCCCAGUAACGCUCCCUCGAUGUUUGGGCCUGGCUACUGAUUGGUCAUAAUGGAUUACUUUCUUGGGGGUGAGACUCCACCUAUCCUGCAGUUGCACAAAUGGGGCCCCUCUCAGUACCAACUGAACUUAUCAGAAUUUCGUGAAGCUUUUAUUUCUCCGACGAGGGAGCUGCUGUUAUUGCUUUCUUACCAGUGUGAAGCUUUGCUGCUUCCUUUGGUUACUGGGAGCCCCUUAGAUGACAACAUUUCAGAGAGUUGCUUCAAUGAAUGUGUGCAAAAUCAAUCUCCAGAAGCUUUUUGUUCUCGAUCAUCAACGAAGCCUAGUUGCUUAGAUUCACAAGAUAGUGUAUCCCUUGCUGAUAUAUCAGUAGCAGAUCUUGAUAAUGGUUUUUCUGUUGAACAUAGAUCUUCAAGAUCUAAUAAUUACCCUUUUCUUUGUGAUGUAAAUUCACUGGCUUGGGGUGUAUGUGGGGAUACCUAUGAUGUACACGAGGAUGUUUUAUUUAGAGAGCUCCUUUUUGUGUCCAGUGAUUAUGGUGUUACAGUGCAUGCUUUCCGUGUGCCUGAUAAAACUGCAAUGGCAAGAUCCUUAUUGGAGAGUGAGUUUGGGGAAGGGAGGUGGGUGGCUUGGGGUCCUUCAACUACUACAUCAGCUCAAAAUAUGAAGUCUGAGGACACUGUUGGUAUGUAUUCUGGAGGCACUAGUGCUAGUGUGGCUGUCAAAAAGACCAAUGGGAAUGAGGAAACUCAGCAAGAUACGUGUAAAGAAACUGGGGUUGACCAGCUGUCAAGUGGCGUUGCUUCAAAGAGGUGGUUGUGUUCUUUUUUUACUAAAGCUGAAACUAUAAAAUUUGAUGGUAACAUCAGGACUAGGUUCCCAGAGAAGGCAUCAUUUCCAGGCUCAGCAAAGGUUGUUUCGUUUAGCAUUCUUGAUGAGAAUUUGCCGGUUUUGGACUUCCUUUCUCAUGAAAACUUUGUCUCAAAUAAGGGAGAAAGCCAGCAUGAAAAUGUUUUGGAGCUGGGUAGCAAUUUUGGUGCCAGUUCAUACAAAUGUUCCAGAGUGUUUUCUAGCAAUUCACAUUGUCUAAUUGGAUUUGUUUUAACAUUGGCAGAUUCUUUAUUUGUCCACACAGCUAAAGAGAAUGAAAGCAGCAUAAAAACAUUGCUUCUUGUUGCUAGGUUAGAUGGUUUGGGAAUCCAUUGGGUUUCCUUUGUGAAGCUUGCAGAAAGUGUAAAUGGAGAUCCUGUUCCUGAGUGGACUGACUUUAGCUUUUCUGAUAACCUUCUUGUUUGCCUAAAUGCUUCUGGGUUAAUCUAUUUUUAUGCUGCAAUGUCUGGAGAGUGUGUUGCACAUCUGGAUGUUUUACAAGCUUGUGGAUUUAACCCACAAUCAAGGCCAUGGCAGCAAGAAAAAGUUUCCAUAGUUGAUCCACAGAUAAAAUCUUUUGAUGAAAUUCAUGAUAAGUCAACUUCUCUAGUUGGUGAUUUAUUUGGCAGGAGAAUGUUUAGAAAGUUGCUUGUUGCUUCACACACUUCCUUGCUAGCUGUUGUUGAUGAAUGUGAUAUUAUUUAUGUCAUACGUGCUGGUGACUAUAUGCCAGAUAAGUACUAUGCAUAUGAGAAAUUGCUUCCACAUUUUCAACAUUUAGGGCUUGGCAUAUUGGUUGGUUGGGAGGUUGGUGGCUCCGAUAUAGGCCACCAAACGGUAUAUUCUAAUAAUGCAUUUAAGAGGAAAGUAGAUAAUUUUCAUGGUAGAAGGGCACAGUGUGACUACUGCUCAAGCAUCUCAUCAGAUAAUAGUUUUUCUGAUUAUAAGGUGCGCUUACAACCGAUGCGUCAAGUUUUUCUUCCCACAGAAAGAUUUAGGGAGGAUGAUUGUAUCUGUUUCUCCCCUUUGGGAAUCACCCGGGUUACAAAGAGGCACGGCAUUAAGAAUCCAAGGAAUGUUCUCGUUCAUUUGAAUCUGCAUAUGGGUUUAGCAGUUCAUGAUGAAAAUUGCUUGGAUUCUGGGGGAAAAAUGUUUUACCCACAGGUGAAGGAAGAAGCUUCUGUUGGAGAAGCAAUUGGUUGCACUUUUCAUGGAUGUCUUUAUCUUGUUAAUGAAGAUGGCAUUUCAGUUGUUCUUCCCUCUGUUUCUUUUUCAUCAAAUUUCCUGCCUGUUGAAACCUUUGGAUAUCGGCUGCACAGUUUUGAUACAGGCACAGGAUAUCCUGUGAAAAGAACUCAUCAAAUAAGGGAAUCCAAAGAGCUUUUCUCAGCUUGGAAAGUCGAGGUUUUGGAUAGAGUUCUUAUGUAUGAAGGCCCUGAAGAGGCAGAUCGUCUGUGUUUGGAAAAUGGAUGGGAUUUAAAAAUAUCUAGGAUGCGUCGGCUACAGAUGGCAUUGGACUACCUGAAAUUUGAUGAAAUAGAGCAAUCUCUAGAAAUGCUUGUGGGUGUCAAUCUGGCAGAAGAAGGCAUUUUGAGAUUGCUUUUUGCUGCGGUUUAUCUGAUGCGUAACAGAAAUGGUAGUGACAGUGAUGUUUCUGCUGCGUCGAGGGUUCUUGCAUUGGCCACUUGCUUCACGACCAAAAUGAUUCAAAAAUUUGGGUUACUGCAGCAUAAGAAUGGCUUGUUACAUGGUUUUAGGAAGACUCGAUUGCUCUCUCUUCCUUCAUUUAUUUCAGAUGAAGUACAAAAUGAAAUGGUGGACUCAAAAAGGCUUCGUGACAUGGCUCAUUUUUUGGAGAUCAUUCGGAAUCUGCAAUAUCGACUUGGAGCAAAAUUCAAAAAGCCUGGCCAGGGAUUGGUGGAUGGUGGUGAGGCAUUAAAUUUGAUGGACACAGAUUUGUCAGAGGAUGAAUCUCAGCUUUCAAUUCUUCAAGAUAAUGCUGAUUCGUUGGAGACACUAAACCAACAAGAACUUUCAAUUUCUGUAUCUUCUGUGGGUUCUAAGGGCGAGAAACUUGCUUUGAUGUCCAAGGAUGCCUUAGUUUCCAGUGCCCAUUUGGAUCAGGAUGAUUCAACUGCAGUAUCCAUAUUUGUGCCUCGGGCUGGAAAUUUGGGGAGGAAAAAUUAUCCAAUGGAAAAUCCCAAGGAGAUGAUUGCACGAUGGAAAGUAGACAAUUUUGAUCUUAAAACUGUAGUUAAAGAUGCUCUCGUCUCUGGCCGGCUUCCUUCAGCUGUUCUUCAAUUACAUCUUCAUCGUUCAAGAGAUUUAGACGCUGAUGAACUGCCUUCUGAUACUUUUAAUGAAGUUCGUGACAUUGGAAGAGCCAUUGCUUAUGGCCUAUUUCUAAAGGGUGAAACUGGGCAUGCAAUUGCAACAUUACAAAGGCUUGGGGAGGACAUUGAAACCUGCCUCAAGCAGUUAUUAUUUGGCACAGUAAGGAGAUCCAUUCGGAUUCAAGUUGCACAAGAAGUGAAAAGAUAUGGUUACCUGGGGCCACAUGAGUGGAAGAUAUUGGAGAAGAUAUCACUAAUAGAGAGGCUGUACCCUAGCAGUAGUUUCUGGAAAACUUUUCUUGGUCGGCAGAAGGCAUUGAUGAGUGCUUUGUUGACUUCAAAUUCACCUGGAGAAAUUAAGCUGCACUUAUUAUAUCCACAUCUAUUUAGCAAUCUCAUCAUCGAUUGUGGUGAGAUUGAUGGGGUUGUUCUAGGUUCAUGGACAAGCAUCAAUGAAGAUUCUUCUGACCCUGUGGUUGAUGAAGAUACUGCUCAUGCUGGAUAUUGGACUGCUGCUGCAGUGUGGUGUAGUGCCUGGGAUCAGAGGACCAUUGAUCGAAUAGUUUUGGAUCAGCCUUUCCUUAUGGGUGUUCAUGUAUUGUGGGAAUCUCAAUUGGAAUAUUAUUUGUGCCAUAAUGACUGGGAGGAAGUUUUUAAACUUAUGGACCUCAUUCCUACAUCUGUAGUAUCACAAGGAAGCCUCCAAAUCACUUUAGAUGGCUUAAAGCAUGCACCUGCUACUGGAUGUAGAAGUGAAUUUCCUGAGUACAGUAAUUAUAUAUGCUCAAUUGAAGAAGUGGAUGCUGUUUGCAUGGAUGUUCCAGGAGUCAAAAUAUUCAGGCUUUCUGUUGAUGCGAUGUGCACCAUGUGGUUAAGGAUGCUCAUGGAAAAGGAGCUUGCUAAGAAAUUUAUUUUUUUGAAGGAUUAUUGGGAAGGCACUGCAGAGAUUGUAGCUCUACUAGCUCGUUCAGGAUUCAUCACUAGCAGACCUAAUAGAAUGUCGUCAGAGGAUUUUUCUUCGAAACUUUCGUCUGAUCUGAAUGUAUCAGAUGGUGGAAACUUUGAUGUUGACGCUACACAAGCUUUGCAUAAAUUACUCGUGCAUCAUUGUGUGCAAUAUAACUUGCCAAGCCUUUUGGACCUUUAUCUUGACCAUCACAAAAUGGUCAGGGAGAAUGAUUCACUUUACUUGUUACUGGAAGCUGCAGUAAGUUUCCUCACAUCCAGGAGAUUGCCAAUGGGCAAAAUGGUUGCUUUUAUCUAGGAUUAAGGGUCAUGAAUAUGAUGCAUCGUUUUGUAAUGCUUGGGCUAUAAUGUCUCAUGAUAGCAACCUCAGUGUUCUAGACAUUGAUGAGAUAAUUCGUACUGUUGAUGAUAUUGCUGAAGGAGCAGGUGAAAUGGCAGCUUUAGCAACUCUGAUGUAUGCCUCUAUUCCAAUUCAAAAUUGCUUAAGUAGUGGCACUGUUUCAAGGCUUAGUAGUUCCACAGCUCAGUGCACAUUGGAAAAUCUUAGGCCCACUUUGCAACGCUUUCCUACAUUGUGGCGCACACUUGUAGCAGCAAGUUUUGGACAGGAUACAUCUAAUUUGUUCGUCUCUAAGGCAAAUAAUGCACUGUCAAACUAUUUGUGUUGGCGUGACAAUAUCUUCUUCUCUUCUGCACGUGAUACUUCACUUCUGCAAAUGUUGCCAUGCUGGUUUCCUAAAACUGUGCGGAGGUUAAUUCAGCUUUAUAUCCAGGGUCCUCUUGGAUGGCAAUCAUUCUCGGGUCUGCCUGUAGGAGACUCUCUGUUAGAUAGAGAAAUUGACUUUUACAUACAUGCCGAUGAACAUACUGUGAUAAAUGCUGUAUCCUGGGAAGCAACGAUACAAAAGCAUGUGCAAGAGGAACUCUAUGAUUCCUCGCUUGAGGUAUCUGUGUCCUUUUCACCUCAAAAUGUGGUUCAUGUUUUUUAUCAUAUCUAAUUUAUGAGUUUUAUUCAAAGCAUUCAACUUUGGUGUAAGGAUGGUAUUUUGAAAUGCCAGUUGCAGCAGCACUGGUCUGUUGAAAAUGAAGUUUCAUUAAUUGCAAUUCUGAUGCCUGAUAUGUAGGUGAGUUUGAAGAGAGUAGGCAAUGCAUUUUUUAUUUUAAAAAGCAAUAUUUCCUAUUAACAUUCAUAGUAUUAUUAAAUAUGAGCAUAUAUCAUAAUUAGUUGGUUCCCCAUAAGUUAGUUUUGUACAUGGUGGAAAAGAUUCUAUAUUGUUUUUCUUUGUGAAAAUGUUUUUCUUUUGAUGCAGCAUACAUGUUAAGUGAACUCAGAUGUCAUUGUAAUUUGUAGAUUUGUUCCUUUUUCUCUGCUUCAGAUAAGUAAAUUUGUAUCUGAAAAUCUGUUAUAUAUAUACAUGCACAAGUGCUCGCGCAUGCUCAAGAGACAUAGGUAUGCUGUUACAUGAUCUUUUAAUGUGGUUUCUCUUGGAAAGUCUUGUGUUCUUGAAUCCUGCAAUUAGCAUGGGAACUGUAACUUUGCAAGAUGAGAUUCAUGUAAAAUUUAUCUAAGUGUAUGGCCAGACUUCCAUGGUUAGCGCAUCGUUUAUGCUAGGAAAAGGAAUUUUACAUUCAUGAGAUUUAGUAUUCAUAUUGGAUUUGGGAGACAAAUUUAAAAAUAUAGGUUGUUGUUGUUGUUGUUGAUAAGAAGGCCAAUGUCACUGGAUAAAUAAAAUUUGUGAUGUAGUAAACAGAAGAAUCUAUUGAUUGGAGUUAUAUCGUGUGGAGUCUUGCUUUGUUGAAGGUAACUGGUUUGUUUGAUGAAAUAUUGAAUGGUUUACAUUCUGUUGUAUUGUCACUUACUGUGCUUAUUGUCCGAUGGGGUUACAUCGACUUCAGGAAACUGGAAAUGGGCUUGAGCAUCAUUUGCAUCGUGGUCGUGCGCUGGCAGCUUUUAAUCAUAUUCUUGGGGUUAGAGUUCAAAAGUUGAAAUUGGAAGGCCAGUCUGAUGCUGCAUCGCUUGGACAAACAAAUGUGCAAUCACAUGUGCAAACGCUUCUAGCACCUUUAACACAGAGUGAAGAGGCUAUUGUUUCAUCUGUGAUCCCACUUGCUAUUACUCACUUUGAGGAUCCCGUAUUGGUGGCAUCAAGUGCUUUUCUUCUGGAGCUUUGUGGUUUUUCUGCCAGCAUGCUUCGUGUGGACAUUGCUGCCUUGAAGCGGAUAUCAUCAUUUCACAAAUUAAGUGAAAAUAAAGACAAAUUUGGUCAAAUUUCACCAAAAGGCUCUGCAUUUCAUGUGGUUUCUAUUGAAGGUGGCAUGGUAGAGUCUCUGGCUAGAUCACUAGCAGAUGAAUACUUGCGGAAGGAUAGUGUAAAGGAUGCUAAGCUAAAGAGAACUGCAGAUUUGCAUACAAGCAAACGAUCUUCACGGGCACUUAUGCUAGUCCUACAGCAUUUGGAAAAGGCAAGCCUUCCAGUGAUGAUGGAUGGAAAGACUUGUGGAUCUUGGCUACUAACUGGUAGUGGUGAUGGGGCUGAACUAAGAUCUCACCAAAAAGCUGCAAGUCAGCAUUGGAAUUUAGUUAAAGUUUUCUGCCAGAUGCAUCAACUUCCCUUGAGCACAAAAUACCUUUCUGUAUUGGCUAGAGAUAAUGAUUGGGUUGGAUUUUUGUCUGAAGCUCAGAGUGGAGGAUACCCUUUUGAUACAGUGGUCCAAGUGGCAGCCAAGGAAUUUAGUGAUCCACGUCUCAAAAUUCAUAUUUUAACAGUCUUGAAAGGCAUGCAGUCAAGAAAGAAAGCUGGUUCUCCAUCUUACUCAGAUGCUGCUGAAAAAGGGAGUGAAACUUCCUGUUCAGACGAGAGUGUACUUAUACCUGUUGAACUCUUUAGAAUAUUAGCAGAUUGUGAGAAGCAGAAAAAUCCUGGAGUAGCUCUCUUGAGGAAAGCAAAAGAGAUGUCCUGGUCACUUUUGGCAAUGAUUGCAUCAUGCUUUCCUGAUGUGUCUCCAUUAUCUUGCCUAACAGUUUGGCUAGAAAUUACAGCAGCAAGGGAAACUUCAGCCAUAAAGGUGAAUGAUAUUGCAUCCCAGAUUGCUGAUAAUGUUGGAGCAGCUGUGGAAGCUACUAAUUCCCUGCCGGUGGGUAGUAGGGCAGUAACAUUUCAUUACAAAAGGCAGAAUCCAAAACGCCGACGCCUUUUGGAGCCCAUGACUGUGGACCAAUUGGUUGUAUCUGCUGCUGAUGUUUCAAGUACUUAUUAUAGUCCAAAUACAUCAGUAGCACAAGAUGGAAGAAAACAUGGAAUUGGUGAACAUGUUAAUGUUUCAAGUGAUUCUGAUGAAGGGCCUGUGUCUCUCUCAAAGAUGGUGGCAGUGCUUUGUGAACAGCACUUGUUUCUGCCAUUGUUAAAGGCCUUUGAAAUGUUUCUCCCAUCGUGUUCUUUGUUGCCUUUCAUUCGUGCGCUUCAGGUCUGAGAGCGAACUUUUGACUCAUCUUUUCCAUCCAUCUCUAUGGUUCCUUAGGAUGAAGAUAAAUCUUUUUCCCCUUCAAAGUAAUGUUUUGGGGAACAUGCAUACUGAUUUUGUUUGGUUGGGUCUCAGGCUCAUAUCUUACCUAGAAUAGUUAAGUCUGUGGCAUCCAGAUCAGUGUCCACUGGGCUUCCAGUUGGAUCGACGUAGUGUAUAUUGAGAUUGUAUUUCAGUGCAUGAUGUUUACCAAAACCGACUCAAAAUGUAAUAUGAGGACUGAGCUGUUCAAAUCAAUGUCUAAUGGGCUGUGUAAUGUAUAUCUGCAUUAUCCUUACUCUUGGAACGAGUAAAUUAUAAUAGAUUUACAUGGAGGACAUCUUAAAAUGAUGAGGUCAUGAUGAAUAGACAUAGUCUAAGCAAUAUGUCAUUUUGUUAUGGUUGACUUAAUUUUAAGGUCAUUGAUUUAGAUCAUUUUUAUAAGUGAUUUUACUGAAUGCCUUUAUCGGUCAUGCAUAUCAUCUUCAAUAUACUUUCUUUCCUUUCAGUUUUUAUAUUUGAGUUAAGUUUUUCUGUUUACCAGGGUUAUAAAGACAAUCUAAUCAUUGGGAUAAUCUUCUGAUAGAAGCAAUAAUUUCUUCCUUUUUUCAUUGACUUUCUUUUCAGGCAUUUUCACAAAUGCGCCUAUCUGAAGCUUCAGCACAUUUGGGCUCCUUCUCUGCCCGGAUAAAGGAUGAAUCAUCCCAUUACCAAUCAAAUAUGGUAAGAGAAGAGCAGACUGCAACAUCAUGGUUAAGCUCUACUGCUGUAAAAGCUGCCAAUUCCAUGCUUUCAACUUGCCCAUCUCCCUAUGAAAAAAGAUGCUUGCUACAACUUCUUGCUGCAACUGACUUCGGUGAUGGAGGAUCUACAGCAACAUAUUAUUGGCGACUUUUUUGGAAAAUUAACUUAGCAGAGCCUUUAUUACGGAAGGAUGAUUGCCUACAUCUUGGGAAUGAGACAUUGGAUGAUGCUUCACUUUUAACUGCUCUUGAAAAGAAUGGGCAUUGGGAGCAAGCAAUCAACUGGGCCAGGCAGUUGGAGGCCGGUGGUGGACCUUGGAAAUCUGCUGUUCACCAUGUUAUUGAAACUCAGGCUGAAUCCAUGGUAACUGAAUGGAAGGAGUUUCUUUGGGAUGUUCCUGAAGAGAGAGUUGCUUUGUGGGGCCAUUGUCAGACACUGUUCAUAAGAUAUUCUUUUCCUCCUUUACAGGCUGGAUUAUUUUUCCUUAAACAUGCUGAAGCAGCGGAGAAAGAUCUUCCAGCCAGAGAGCUUCAUGAAUUGCUGCUGCUCUCUCUUCAAUGGUUAAGUGGGAUGAUAACUCUCUCCAAUCCGGUUUAUCCAAUAAAUCUUCUUCGAGAAAUUGAGACUAGAGUAUGGCUCUUGGCAGUAGAAUCAGAAGCUCAGGUAAAGGGUGAUGGAGACUUCACAUCAACUGCUUCCAGCCGGGAUCCUGGGAUUGGAAAUGGAAAUACUUCCAAUAUCAUUGAAAAGACUGCCAAUUUGAUAACAAAGAUGGACGUUCAUAUAAAUACAAUGAGGAAUAGAACAAUAGAUAAACAUGAUGCAAACGAAAAUACUUCAGGGCUUCAGAAGAACCAAGUAUUGGAUGCCAGCACUCCAACAUUAGGGGUCAGUACUAAAACAAAGCGAAGGGCCAAAGCCUUUUUACCAUCAAGACGACCAUUUAUGGAUCCAAUGGAUAAAAGUACUGAUUCUGAAGAUAUUUCUGUUCCUCUCACUUCUAAGAAUGACUUGCAGUUGCAAGAUAAAAAUCUAAAGUUAGAAAUUUCUUUUUCAAAAUGGGAGGAAAGGGUUGGGCCUGCAGAGCUGGAAAGAGCUGUUCUUUCCUUACUGGAGUUUGGACAAAUAACAGCUGCCAAGCAACUCCAACAUAAGCUAUCUCCAGAAAACUCUCCUCCGGAAUUUGUUCUGGUCGAUGCUGCUCAAAAGCUUGCAGCUAUGUCAACUCCUUGUAACAAAGUAUCUCCAUCAGUGCUUGAUGAGGAAGUGCAUUCUGUUGUCCAAUCAUAUAAUAUAUUCACUGAGCAGCAUUUAAUCGACCCAUUGGAGGUGUUGGAGAGUUUAGCAAACGUGUUUACUGAGGGUAGUGGACGCGGUCUAUGUAAGAGAAUCAUAGCAUUUGUAAAAGCUGCAAAUGUUCUGGGUCUCUCUUUUUCAGAGGCAUUUGAGAAGCAACCAAUUGAAUUGCUACAGUUGCUUUCUCUUAAAGCACAAGAAUCAUUUGAAGAAGCAUCUUUCUUAGUGCAAACUCAUUCCAUGCCAGCAGCCAGUAUUGCUCAAAUUCUUGCAGAAUCAUUUUUGAAGGGUCUACUGGCUGCGCAUCGUGGGGGAUAUAUGGAUUCUCAGAAGGAAGAAGGACCUGCUCCUCUGUUGUGGAGAUUUUCAGACUUUUUAAAAUGGGCUGAGCUUUGCCCUUCACAACCCGAAAUUGGCCAUGCGUUGAUGCGUUUGGUGAUUACAGGUCAAGAAAUACCGCAUGCAUGUGAGGUUGAGCUUCUUAUUCUUUCUCACCACUUCUACAAAUCAUCAGCAUGCCUUGAUGGAGUUGAUGUCUUGGUAGCUCUUGCUGCAACUAGGGUUGAGGCCUAUGUGUCUGAGGGUGAUUUUCCCUGUUUGGCUCGAUUGAUAACUGGAGUUGGGAACUUCCAUGCUCUUAAUUUCAUUCUUGGUAUUCUCAUAGAAAAUGGUCAACUGGAUCUUCUACUUCAGAAGUAUUCUGCUGCUGCAGACACAAAUGCAGGAGCUGCUGAGGCUGUCAGAGGAUUUCGGAUGGCUGUCUUGACAUCAUUGAAGCAUUUCAACCCAAAAGAUCUUGAUGCGUUUGCUAUGGUCUAUAACCACUUUGACAUGAAGCAUGAAACAGCGUCUCUUUUAGAGUCACGUGCAUGGCAGUCUUCGGAGCAGUGGUUUCAUCGUUAUGACGUGGAUCAAAAUGAAGAUCUGCUUGAAUCAAUGCGGUAUUUGAUUGAAGCGGCUGAAGUUCACUCUACCAUUGAUGCUGGCAAUAAAACAUGCAGAACUUGUGCUCUGGCUUCCCUUAUUUCUCUUCAAAUUCGAAUGCCAGAUUCCAAGUGGCUCAGUUUAUCUGAAACCAAUGCCAGACGAUUACUAGUAGAGCAAUCCCGUUUCCAAGAGGCCCUAAUUGUUGCUGAAGCCUAUGAUCUUAAUCGGCCAAGUGAGUGGGCGCUGGUGCUUUGGAAUCAGAUGCUAAAGCCGGAGCUAACAGAAGAAUUUGUAGCUGAAUUUGUGGCAGUGCUUCCACUCCAACCUUCAAUGCUUAAUGAACUGGCAAGAUUCUAUAGGGCUGAGGUGGCUGCCAGAGGGGACCAAUCACAAUUCUCAGUUUGGCUGACUGGGGGAGGACUACCUGCAGAAUGGGCUAAAUAUUUGGGAAGAUCAUUCAGAUGCUUGUUGAAGAGAACUAGGGAUCUGAGGUUAAGGUUGCAGCUGGCUACGAUAGCAACUGGUUUUAGUGAUGUCAUUGAAUCAUGUACAAAGGCACUAGAUAAGGUUCCUGAAACUGCUGGACCUCUGGUACUGAGGAAAGGGCAUGGUGGUGCCUACCUCCCAUUGAUGUGAAACCAAAGCUUGAUGGAAAGACUAUGGUUGCUCCAAAAUCAGGACGUGAGAGUGAUUGGUGGUGGCAGUCCUGAUGACAAAGAUGAUUAUGAAAAAUUUUGAUGAUAAUAUAAUUUCUUGGGAAGAAAUAGAAAGCAGAAUACAUGAGAAGAAUCAAUACGGUUGUAAAUUAGUGAUUUAGGUGAUUAGUUAGAUGAAGCGGAAAGGUUGUAAAUUUUGAUUAUUUGGUGGGGGGAUAGUUCAGUUGGCUUUGGUUAUGUGUUCCUAUUUUACAGUUGAAAAGCAUUUUUGUAAGAUUUGUUGAUUUUAUUUCCCUAAGGUUGCCCUUCGGUGGCCAAUUACUUAGUGGCAGAGCCAGAAAAAAUUUUCUUUUAAGGGCUAUUGUUAUAUAUAAAAUUAAUUUAAAA